Molecule: non-coding RNA, 67 nt
Organism: Podarcis lilfordi (Lilford's wall lizard)
Lineage: Eukaryota; Metazoa; Chordata; Lepidosauria; Squamata; Lacertidae
Source: the annotation of a GenBank genome assembly
GCAGCUCAGUCAGUAGAGCAUGAGGCUCUUAACCUCGGAGUCAUGGGUUCUAGCCCCAUGUUGAGCA